GGGGCCUUUUCGUCCCCGGCGUCCGGGCGCGCCUCAUCGACCCCCACCCCGGCCCCUGCCCCCCGGCGGUGGCCGGUGGGCAGAAAGACCGAAACCCGCUCACUACCGCCUCUCGAAUCGCGGCUCUGCUGUUUGCGGGGCGUGCUAGAAACGUGGUCCUGGAAAGAAUGGCGUCCAUUUACAUAAUGCUUUGUUUGCGUUUCGCAAGUUUCUUUCGGUUAAAGCCACAGAAACCCCACCUCCUGCCCUUGGGUCGUUUCCACCGCGGCACCCUUUUCCGACAUUAGAAACAAUAGUGUGCGCCAAUGGAGGCCUUGUUUAUUCAGGGGAUGCCGGCCGGGGCUUCAGGAUGUUUCUGCGGCUUUUCCCGCGCGGCCUGGGCUCCUGCGGCUGCCUUUCGGGCCCAUGGGCGCAGCCACCGCACCCGACUCUCCGGGGGCGGCCCCGUGGCCCGCCAUCUUGGAAGGCCUUUUUUGCAGGUUCCUCCCGCUGAGGAAGUGUCGUUUAAGACGCUGGCAUAUGAGUUGUGAUUUCUGCCCUUUCCCCUUCUUCCUCGGGCUAAGCCAGACCAGCAAGGGCCCCGUGCACAACGUGCUUCAGAAUCCCUCAGGGAAAGCGGCUAACGUGGCGCUACUCCGCCUUCCCCGUUCCUUCCCCGAGGGGCGGCCGCCAUGUUGCCUGAACACAAAAUGGCGACACGUGGCUAGCAUUCGUCGCCAACGAGAAAUUGGGGUCGGCCCGAAAGCUCUGGAAUGUACCCCCCUUCCUCCCCGGGGCCUUUCCCGCUCCGCGAGUUUUAUGACCUAGAAAACCCCACAGGCUGGUCUGAAGCUCGGAAGCCUAAUUUUAACGCGUUUCCCUCCCUUUAAUUUGAAACGGGAACGCGAAUAACUGUAAAAUAGGAAGACACUUAAACAUAAAGAUGAAGUGCCUAAUUCAAGGUCACACAAUGUCGGGGAUGGACCUCCAGAUUUCCUUACUGACCUGCAUUAUCUGUGGAUAUCUGAGUGAAUUACACACCACCCAUUUUAUAGAUGAAGCCACUGAGACAUGGAGCAACUGACUGAGUAGUCACUGCACCACCCCUGGAGCCUCACACAUGACUCGUCUCCUCUCUCUCAGUGACCACAGUUACUUAUCCUGUAUUACAUGAGGGAAAUGAAACAAAAAGACUACAGCCCCACUCCCAGCUACUCCGUGAGGUGGUAGCUAGGUAAGACAUGGUCUUGUACCACAGUGGUUAAGAAUGUGACUUUGGAGCCAGCCUGCUAGGGGAUGAAUUCUGACUCAGCCAUUUACUAACUGGGUGACCUUAGUUCCCUGAGCACAUGCUGUUGAGUAAUCCUGCCUGGACCAGUCCUUCCCUCACCCUAGACUUCACCUUCAGUUCCCCUUUAUACCACCUGCUGAAGCUGCCAGCCAGCCUUUUCCACCACCCUCCCUCCCCCAAGGGUGUUUGGCUUCUCAGACCCUAGCCUGAGCUAGUGCCCUUGGCUCACUAGGGUCUUGCCAGGAAAGUCAAAGGAGAACAUACAUACUGCCGAAGAGUUCCUAAUAAUGAGAAUUCCCAUGCUGAAUUGUGAUUUAUAGUCAGCAUAGCACAUGUGUCACAUGAUUAUACUUAGGCUGAUUUUAGCCCGAAUAAUCUGCUUCUGUGAUCCUGUAUGUGGAAAACCUAGAAAUUUCUCUGUGAUCCUCCUUCCUGGAUCACUAAGAGACAAGUCAAGACAUAGGUUCAUUGUACCACCUGUAUUAAUCUGGGCCUUGUUGAGACCAUUUAAAAAAGGUGUGAUGCUAGAAGUAAGGUCCAGGCCUCCCACACACAGUUUCAAGGCUGUGACCAUAGUCAAAUCCUGUUGCUUUGAGUCCAAAGAGUUUAAAAUAGUGUUGGAAACCUCCUAGGGAAAACAAAAAAACAACACCAUAACUUCCUGGGUAAGGAAGUGACAUGUGCUGACUAGAGCAGGAGGGGUAGCCAAGGCUCCAAGUUCUAUUCUGGACCUGCUGUUGAUUUGAGGUGUGACAUUCAGCAAUCAGCUGAUGUUCUGUAGCUCGGAUUGGUUUCUCAUCUUCCGCAGAGAGAGUGAAAAGAGGCUGUGCUUGCAGUGGAAAAGGUGAAUACUGGUCUCUUGUCCUUUAGGAGAACCUCACCAUUGCACAUCCUGCCUCUCAUUUGAAUUUCCAGGCUUCUUUUUUAGAGUCUCGCUCUGUUGCCCAGCUUGGAGUGCAGUGGUGUGAUCUUGGCUCACUGCAACCUCUGCCUCUGGGUUUAAGUGAUUCUCUCACCUCAGCCUCCCAAGUAGCUGAAAUUAUAGGUGUGUGCCAUCAUGCCUGGCUAAUUUUUGUUUUUUAGUAGAGAUGGGGUUUCACCAUGUUGGCCAGGCUUGUCUCGAACUCCUGACCUCAAUUGAUCCACCUGCCUCGGCCUCCCAACCAGGCUUCUUUUUUAAAUGCAGAAAUACCCCCCAACCCAGAGUUAGUAUAGAAACCCAGCAAUGUUGUUUAUGUUUUACUUGAAUUCAUUUCAUCAGAAUUGCAUUCCUUUUAACAGUGUGAUUAGAUCAGCUCUUGUAGGGGAUGGCAGCUUCAAUAGGGUUUAGUAAAGAAAAGAUUUGUGUGGGGCACACACAUUGGCUUUGAUAGCUUGAGGAUACCAGGUACAUGAUAGUUUAGAUGGAUAACAGAAACUUGUGUCCGUUGAGAGCCAGGCAUGUAUUAGAUGCUUUCAUAUAUAAUUUAAUUGUAGUACAAACCAAUAAAGUAUUCCCAUUUUUUGCACGUGAGCAAGCUGAAAAAGAAGUUAUAUAACUUGUCCAAGGUCACACAGCUAAUAAAAGGGCUGAGCUAGGAUUUAUUUCUCCUCAAGUCUGUACAACGCCAAAACCCAUGCUGUUUUCACAGAGCUUUUCUGUCCCUGGUGAGAUUUAGGAAAGGGUGGGAGAAAGAAGGGUGAUGAGAUGCUGUCUUUACCUACCUCGCGAUUUGCUUGUUGGUACGUGUUUAGCUAGAACAUUCUGUUUAUAGAGUACUAGAUUCUAUAUAUAGAGAUGCUGCAACAACAUAUGUGGGAAAGAUACCAAUUGGCUGUAGGUGAGGAUUUCAAGAAGUCUUUGUUCUUCAUCACAGUGUAGGCCACACGUGUCAAAACACCACUGGUAAUUGGUUUGCUACUAAAGUGGCUCUGUCUUAUCAUCUACAUAAAAUCUGUUGAUGUGGCUCACAAAGUCAGCUGUGAUGGGGCUAGAGGUGAGGGUGUGGUGUGUUAUUGCAUGUACUGGAGCUGGUGGCACCUGUUUUGUGACUGUUAACAUUGAAUGAUUACUGAGUAAAUAAGAGGUGUCUCGGCCAGGCGCAGUGGCUCACACCUGUAAUCCCAGCACUUUGGGAGGCCGAGGCGGGCGGAUUACCUGAUGUCGGUACUUUGAGACGAGCCUGACUGACAUGGAGAAACCCUGUCUCUACUAAAAAUACAAAAUUAGCUGGGCAUGGUGGCUCAUGUCUGUAAUCCCAGCCACUUGGGAGGCUGUGGCAGGAGAAUCGCCUGAACCCGGGAGGGAGAUCGUGUCAUUGCACUCUAGCCUGGGCAACAAGAGUGAAACUCCGUCUCAAAAAACAAACAAACAAAAAAUUAUGUGUGUCUCUUUUUUUCUUUUCCAAGGGAGACAGAUAGCAGUGGGUGCUGGCACACAUUCAGGGAUGCUGGCCCCUGGGCUAGCAGAAGAGAUGGCUUGAAGGUGUCAGGUGAUGGAAUACAAAGAGCUGGUCUGUCAAGUGGUAUAAUUUCAGGCACCAAGAAUGUGUCCUGCCCCUCAAAAACUUGUCCUGGCUGUUUGCUAUUGCUUGGAAUCCCACAAUUGAAAUUUCUUUUUCUUGAUUUAAAUCUUUGAGACCCUGUUAAAAAUGAAGAGACUCCAGGAAGGGUUUUGAUUGUGAAACAUCUUGGUCAUGUUAAGUGGAAGUGUGAAUGAGUUUAUAAGAUUGAUUUCUGAGAACUAGACUGAGGAAGGGAUAGAGAGGAGAAGGCACUGAGCUCCUAGUUGUAGGGACAGGAAGGAGACGCCAAUGAGUUUGAGAUAAAGGCCUUGAAGAGAGAUGCUGGGUCCCUAAAGAAAUACUUGGUUUCCUUCGCAGUUUUGUCUGAGAAAAAACAAGCAGCUGAGGGUGAUGGUUAUGGAGGCCCAUGACCCCCAAAGAGGGUAUGCUGAGUAGACAGAUUUCCCACCAGCGCGUUCGGAUGGAGGCACAGUGUUGUGUGGAGAGCUGCUGACAGCUAGAAUGUAACCAGGAGUGCUGGACCUUUGGGUCUGUGGUUUACUGUGAUGUCCUCAGACAAGACUGUCACAGAUCUUAGAAGGGGGGAGGCACAGCUUCCGAGAAAUGAUGCAAAAUGGUGGCGCAAAAGAGGCCACCAGUGGCAACAAGGGUAGGGCAUUUCCUUCGUGGCUGGUGGUCACGGACAACUUCUGGUCUCAAUUUCCCAAUGAGCUAUGCUAAGAGCUUUACCGGAAAGCAAAAUAAGCCAUGCCAGAAGCAAUGACAAAGCACUUGAGGUGUCCAUGCAAAGGUACAGUUCCUCCUUGUGCACUAAUUUUGUGGAGCCAAAAUAGCUGAUCCAGAAGCUG
Macaca mulatta (Rhesus monkey) is the source of this 4622-nucleotide non-coding RNA. The record is from RefSeq and is a predicted model, not a curated record. NCBI's taxonomy places the organism in Eukaryota, Metazoa, Chordata, Mammalia, Primates, Cercopithecidae.